This 1719-nucleotide long non-coding RNA is filed under the name Salmo salar (Atlantic salmon). Its description in RNAcentral is "lncRNA (ENSSSAG00000103751.1)". The record is from RNAcentral. Lineage: Eukaryota; Metazoa; Chordata; Actinopteri; Salmoniformes; Salmonidae.
UUAGAGACACGACCUCGGAGCGAGGCUAGGGAAACAGAUACUAGCCAUUCUGUACGACAGACUAAAGCGCAACUCCAGACAUCAGGCCAACAGCCCCGAAGAGUUAUCAGCCCAGAACAGCUAAAACAUCAUCUGUGAAUCCGUCCUAAUGGAGCUUUCUGAAGUCCUUUACACAGCUGCUCCGGGGAAUAGAUGAUUGGGAACAGCCUUCGUUAGAGUGGGUUUCAGUGGAGCAAAACGCGUGCAGCCAGUCCCCAUCACACUAUUGUCGACCUGACAGACAAACAAAAAAGGAUCACGGAUGCUUCAAGUACUCUGAAUGAUGACAUAGAUGCUAUUCUCCCGUUCUGUACGAACGGCUUUACCCUAACUCCCCCAGGAACCAAGCUCCAUAUUUCAGACCCAAACAAGUAACGCACAACUUGUGCGCAAGUGCCUUGCGCAGAAUCACCCCGGCCCGAAAAGUUACUGCUUCAAGAAACGGCGCUACAUGGACAAGACUCCAUCGAGACAUUCCUGGCAGAAUCUGGAAGGCCUGGUGAAAAAAGUCUAGAGCCCACGGUUUCCGCGAUUCGUCAGAACAGCCCGCGUCAAAAAAGCUGAGACUCCUCCCAGGCGUAUAACGGCACAGAAGACCAUACACCCCGAGAGCACGCGGAGGAUUUCGGUGCGCCGGACAUUCCCAAUAAAACAACGAAACCGGAUGAUUUCACCGUUUUAAAUGACAUUCCCGAGGUAGACAACUUGCUCCUCUGCGAAUUGGCCAACCUUCUUGAUUCCUCCAAUUCUUAUGUAGAAACACCCAAACCUGAAAUAGAACAAGCUAGGUUUAUUACUGCCUUUUCCAGGGCUCUAAAAUCCAGAAAUGUCUUGCUACACAAACGAAUGGUGGAUUUACUUGAGCGGCAGUACUGUCAGGAUCUAUCCUUCUGGCGUAGAACAAUGUCCCGCGUGUAAACUUGGAAUCAAUCACACGCUUGGUCGAGGGGUUCAUAAACGAUCGGAAUAGUGACUUUGAGAUUUUGAGCUCCUACAAAAAAACAUUGUUAGGGAUAAAAAGGGCUUCCAUCUCAGGAAUGCACCACUUACUAAAAGAUUCAGGGUAGUCUAUGACAAGAGACUGCUUUUACCUAACGGGACCACAUUGCCCUUUGGCUACUGAGUUAUGCUACAAGCCCCAGUGUGUCUUAAAGCUUAAGAUAUAAUGGCUGCUGUAGAAGGUUUUGACCCCCGGUUGCAACUACCAUUUUCGGCCUUUAUCGCAGGCCCCUCCAACAGUGGUAAGACUUGUUUUGUAAAAAGGAGUUUAGAGAAUUCUGAAUCUCAGAAGCCUGACAAUAUUGUGUGGUGUUAUUUGUGUUAUCAGCCUUUGUAUGAUGAACUGAUGAAGAAAAUAAAAAUCAAGUUUGUUGAAGGAAUACCUGAAUCCAUGUCUGAUGAUGAACUUUUACCUCCUCAUAAAAACAAUCUGCUGGUUUUGGACGAUAUGCUAUUUGCAGGUAGCGAACACCCUGAAAUUGCAAGAGCUUUUACCCAAUAUACUCAUCAUAGAAACCUGUCCGUGCUUUACUUGGUGCAGAAUGUGUUUCACCAAGGUAAAAAUAGCCGUACCAUUAGUUUGAAUGCCAAUUACAUGGUUUUGUUCAAAAACCCUAGAGACAAACUACAAAUUAACACUCUAGCUCAGCAGAUGUACCCUGCAAGGAAAUCCUACUUUAU